RNAcentral lists this ribosomal RNA (253 nucleotides) under uncultured bacterium. Its description in RNAcentral is "partial 16S ribosomal RNA". It matches the Rfam family "Bacterial small subunit ribosomal RNA", at positions 524 to 776 of the family's 1533-position model. The record is from RNAcentral.
UACGUAGGUGGCAAGCGUUGUCCGGAAUUAUUGGGCGUAAAGCGCGCGCAGGUGGUCUCUUAAGUCUGAUGUGAAAGCCCACGGCUCAACCGUGGAGGGUCAUUGGAAACUGGGGAACUUGAGUGCAGGAGAGAAGAGUGGAAUUCCACGUGUAGCGGUGAAAUGCGUAGAGAUGUGGAGGAACACCAGUGGCGAAGGCGACUCUUUGGCCUGUAACUGACACUGAGACGCGAAAGCGUGGGGAGCAAACAGG